CACCCGCACGUAUAGAAUGGACAAGAAAUAGGCUUCGCGCUUAGCGUCUUAGCAGGCGCAUUCUUCCACGGCGCUCGAAGCGCGUCGUGGUAUUUCGCGUAUUGUAAUUUCAACACGAGCGGGGUCAAAUCCUUUGCAGACGACUUAGCUGUGCGAAACGGUCCUGUAAGCAGUAGAGUAGCCUUGUUGUUACGAUCUGCUGAGGGUAAGCCGUCCUUCGCCUCGAUUUCCCCAAUGGGUUCUCCGGAUUUCUGGAGACUUGUAGGGGUUGUGGGAUUUUUGAUGUGUCGUCUCCGGACGGGCGGUGCAGGGUAGUCGAGUUAGACUUGGUGGAAUUCCGUCGAUAGGAGUUCCGUCGAGUCUGGUCGGCUGUGUGUUGGACGGUGCAGGGUAGGCUGCUUGGACAUGGUCGGUUCGAGGAUCGAUUCGAGGGCCGGCCUGUCGAUGAUGUGUGAUGUAUGCGGUCUAGGGUAGGCUGGUUUGUCUUGGUCCAAUUUGAUGUCGGCUCCCGUGCAGGCCAGAGUGAGGGGGGUACAGGGUAGGCAGCUUAGAUUUGGUCGAUCUGGAGGUCGAUUCUCCGGCUGGCGGAUCUGACACUGUCGAAACGAGGUGCGAGCGGUGUAGGGUAGGCUAGUUUCGUCCUCGCCAGGUUGCGAUUUGGACGAGAUAUGUGGUCUAGGGUAUGCUCUAGGGUAAGUAGAAUUCGUGUUUCGUCGCCGACAGUUUUCUGUGGGUGUGUGGUAGGUACAGGGUAGGCAAAUCUCUCUCCGGCCAGUACUUGUCUGGUGGUCGUGAGUCGAUUUUUUUGUUUUGCCAUACUAUUGAAUUUUGCGGAAAUUCAAAAGUGGCUCGGGAGUCCCGCCUGGCGUGCGUCCGACUCGAACGUCGUCGGUGUACAUAUGAGAGGGAGUAAUCCGGCCCGGCCGGGGCCCAUCGCGAGCUGCCCGGGUAGGUAAAA
RNAcentral lists this ribosomal RNA (958 nucleotides) under Fusarium oxysporum f. sp. lilii. Its description in RNAcentral is "partial large subunit ribosomal RNA". The stretch from base 1 to 231 matches the Rfam family "Eukaryotic large subunit ribosomal RNA", at positions 3162 to 3401 of the family's 3401-position model. The record is from RNAcentral. Lineage: Eukaryota; Fungi; Ascomycota; Sordariomycetes; Hypocreales; Nectriaceae.